This 433-nucleotide ribosomal RNA is filed under the name uncultured bacterium. RNAcentral's name for it is "partial 16S ribosomal RNA". It matches the Rfam family "Bacterial small subunit ribosomal RNA", at positions 29 to 507 of the family's 1533-position model. The record is from RNAcentral.
AGCGAACGCUGGCGGCAGGCCUAACACAUGCAAGUCGAACGGAUCCUUCGGGAUUAGUGGCGGACGGGUGAGUAACACGUGGGAACGUGCCCUUUGGUUCGGAACAACUCAGGGAAACUUGAGCUAAUACCGGAUGUGCCCUUCGGGGGAAAGAUUUAUCGCCAUUGGAGCGGCCCGCGUCUGAUUAGCUAGUUGGUGAGGUAACGGCCCACCAAGGCGACGAUCAGUAGCUGGUCUGAGAGGAUGAUCAGCCACACUGGGGCUGAGACACGGCCCAGACUCCUACGGGAAGCAGCAGUGGGGAAUCUUGCGCAAUGGGCGAAAGCCUGACGCAGCCAUGCCGCGUGAAUGAUGAAGGUCUUAGGAUUGUAAAAUUCUUUCAGCGGGGACGAUAAUGACGGUACCCGCAGAAGAAGCUCCGGCUAACUUCGUG